AAUUAAAAACAAUGAAAAAAAAGAAAGUUUAAAGCUCCUAGGAGAUAACAUAGGAGAAAGCCUAGAUGACCUUGGGCAGAGUGAUGCCUUUUUAGAUACACCAAGGACAGAUCCAUGAAAGAAAGAAUUAAUAAGCUGGACCUCAUUAAAAUCAAAACUGCUCUUUGAAAGACCAUGCCAAGAGAAUGAGAAAAGCCACUGACUAGGAGAAAAUAUUUGCAAAAAAAAAAAGAAGAAGAAGAAGCAUUUACAAAGCUAUUCCACGUGAUACAUCAACAGGAAAAUGCAAAUUUCAACAACAACGACAUAACACUACGCACCUGUUAGAACGGCCGAAAGACAGUUUGGCAGUUUCUAGAAAUGACACAUGCUCUUACCAUGAUCCGGCACUCUCCCUUGGUUCUUCACAGUAUGCAGCAUAAGCUACAGACGAGUUCGCUUCUUCCUUCAUCUGGCAUUCCUCCAGUAAUCCAGUCCCAGUGGAAAGGACUACAAAAAGAAUGGGAAAGACGGCUUGAGCGCACGCCGACUCUGCCUAACCUCAGGGACUGGCUGGACUGGGUCUGGCCUCUUUUUUCCAGUGGUCUCCAGAUGGGACAUUUGGACCUUCUUUCGCUUGGAACCACACUAUCUGCAUGUACCUAGGGCACAGCUAAUCUGCAAAGGACCCCGGCAACAUCUGCCUCUCAAGUUCUAGUCCUCUGUCCCGUCUAUCCUAUACAGUGCAGCAUUGGACAGAAGCAGCCUUCUCUGGACACGUGACCAGAGGCCAAACAACGUGGGAGUUCAGCCUGCCUGCAUGAUGACAGUCACCGAGUCUUGGUGGGAGCAAGAAACAGAAAUCAAUCUCUGACAUCACUCCUUCUAUGUAAAGAAGGAAAAAGCCUUUAUUUUAUCAUUUCUCUUUUAUUCAUUUGUUGGAACAUAAGAAACAUUUUCAGGUUUUCGAUUGUUUCCUUUUUUCCUGUUGUCUAAUAAGGUCAGUUUCUUAAUAAAGCAUCUCUUGGCUUACGCUGG
This is a long non-coding RNA of Lynx canadensis (Canada lynx), 1017 nucleotides long. RefSeq lists it as uncharacterized. The record is from RefSeq and is a predicted model, not a curated record. The transcript is spliced from 2 exons. Lineage: Eukaryota; Metazoa; Chordata; Mammalia; Carnivora; Felidae.